GACGAACGCUGGCGGCGUGCUUAACACAUGCAAGUCGAACGGUGAAGCGCCUUCCUUUUUGGUGGGUGUGGAUGAGUGGCGAACGGGUGAGUAACACGUGAGUAACCUGCCCCCUUCUUCUGGAUAACCGCAUGAAAGUGUGGCUAAUACGGGAUAUUCUGGGGCUGUCGCAUGAUGGGUCUGGGAAAGAGAUUGUUUCGGUGGGGGAUGGGCUCGCGGGCUAUCGGCUUGUUGGUGGGGUGAUGGCCUACCAAGGCGGUAACGGGGAGCCGGCCUGAGAGGGUGGACGGUCACAGUGGGACUGAGCCACCGCACGGGCACCUACGGGCGGCAGCGGUGGGGAAGAGUGCACAAAGGGCGCAAGCCUGAUGCAGCGACGCCGGGUGAGGGAGGGAGGCCUUCGGGUUGUGAGCCUCUUUCGGCAGUGAAGCAGGCCUGCCUCGUGUGGGGGUGGGUAGACGGCAGCUGGAUAAGAAGCGCCGGCUAACUACG
This 492-nucleotide ribosomal RNA is filed under the name uncultured bacterium. RNAcentral's name for it is "partial 16S ribosomal RNA". It matches the Rfam family "Bacterial small subunit ribosomal RNA", at positions 28 to 505 of the family's 1533-position model. The record is from RNAcentral.